RNAcentral lists this ribosomal RNA (457 nucleotides) under uncultured bacterium. Its description in RNAcentral is "bacterial SSU rRNA". It matches the Rfam family "Bacterial small subunit ribosomal RNA", at positions 28 to 524 of the family's 1533-position model. The record is from RNAcentral.
GAUAAACGCUGGCGGCGUGCCUAACACAUGCAAGUCGAACGCCCUUACGCAAGUAAGGGAGUGGCGGACGGGUGAGGAACACGUGGGUGAUCUGCCUUGAGGUGAGGAAUACCGGCGAGAAAUCGCCGACAAUACCGCAUACGUUCGCAAGAACAAAGUCGCAAGACGCCUUGAGAUGAGCCUGCGUCCGAUUAGCUAGUUGGUGGGGUAAAAGCCUACCAAGGCAGCGAUCGGUAGCUGGUCUGAGAGGACGAUCAGCCACACUGGGAUUGAGAACGGCCCAGACUCCUACGGGGGGCAGCAGUGAGGAAUUUUCGUCAAUGGCCGAAAGGCUGAACGAGCAACGCCGCGUGCAGGAAGAAGGUCUUCGGAUCGUAAACUGCUUUUCUGGGGGAAGAGCACGGACGGUACCCCAGGAAGAAGCCCCGGCUAACUACGUGCCAGCAGCCGCCGUAAC